GGAAUAUAGCCGCAUUUCCAGCGUCCGUGCCUCUGUUCUGUGAUGGCUCAUGCCUGUGUCUAAAGGUCUUCAGCAGACUCAGGCAGGUGCAGGUUCAGACAGGCCCUGAGCACAGCCUGUCACCAUCCUCCAUCUUCCCUGCUGUCUUCUGUGUCCCCUGAGCUUCCGUGAGGGUUUGUCUUUCCUCUGUGGCUCUUUAAACCACUUCCUGUCCUUAGGAGAAUCUCCCCCGUGGGUGGGGAAGCCCUAAAUCAGGGCAGGACUUUGGGCUCUGAUCAGCAGACUACACUUCUUAGCACCACCAGCCUCCAGCAAGAACCUGAGGAAAUCACGGAACUUCUCGAGUCUCCUCGUCUGUAAAUGGAAACGACGUCUGCUCUGUGUAACUGAGAAAAUAGAUGCGAAGGUGUCAAACAAAGGCCUCACAUAAAGACAGGGCCUCUCAACACGUGUCACUUUCGACAGCUCUUUAGCACCAACAAGUCAGGGCGAUUGUUAAUGACUCAGCCUCUCUUCUUGGACUCUAAAUUAAUCUUCAGGGAUGCAGUGGGACAAGCAACCCCGUGGGCCAGAGCUCCCCUG
This 582-nucleotide long non-coding RNA is filed under the name Homo sapiens (human). RNAcentral's name for it is "HSALNT0253768". The record is from RNAcentral. Lineage: Eukaryota; Metazoa; Chordata; Mammalia; Primates; Hominidae.